Molecule: unclassified non-coding RNA, 2313 nt
Filed under: Leishmania donovani
Lineage: Eukaryota; Euglenozoa; Kinetoplastea; Trypanosomatida; Trypanosomatidae
Description: gene:LdHU3.34.0500(CDS-product:hypothetical_prote in_conserved)
Source: RNAcentral
GCACUGCACACCGAUCCGCCACGUCGUCUCUUGACUGCCGUCUACUGACAUGCUCAAAUUCGUCUCUUCUAUCGGUGACGCCGCGUACAAGGCGGCGUCCAAGACCGGCCUCGCCGCUGGCUCUGAGCAGCCUCCCUACCCGUGCGCCCUCCCUCUGCAGGUGAUCGAAGACUGCGAGGACACGGAAACCACGGAGCGCGUCCUGAACGAUACGUACGCGGCUGUUCAAGACCUUCUGAGCGAUGACCUUCCGCUGCUGCACAGCACCAUCUCAGACGUGCAGGCCCACAAGCCCUUUAAGCUGGUAGACUUCACCGAUCGCGAGGGCGACAUCCGUCUUUUUACUCGUCCCCACGUCGGCUCGUACAACUUUGCCCGCGUCACGCUCACGCUCGACAGCGUGUCACCGGCGAAGGUGUUGACCUUCAUGCACGCCCAAAGCCUGGAGGAGCGCAACCGCUACUCGAACAACCUUUGCCAGUAUGACGUCAUCGCCCGCAACCCCGAACUGCCGGCGCAGUACAUCGGCAACGACAACGACCACCUCGAGGAACUCUGCCGCAUGGGCAUCCGCGACUGGCAUGUGGAGUACAACCGGUACAGCGCCCCGCCUCCUGUGGCGGCCCGAGAUUUCAUCUACCUUGUCGAGAAGCGCUAUGUUCCGGAGCAGCGGUGUUACUACAUCUACGGCACGAGCGUUGACUACCGCGAUACGGCCGGCAUCACCAUCGAGAAGGACAACUGCGUGCGCGGCGCCGUCGUGUUCGGCUGGCGCUUCCAACAUGUCGGCCGCAAGACGUACUGCACGUACGUGUCCUGCAUGAGCCCGAACGGCUGGGCGCCGACCUUCAUUGUGGGCUGGAUGAAGACCGCGAUCGCAAAGGAGCUUCAAAACGCGCGGCGAGUUCUGUACCAGGAUGUGCCGUCCUGCCACACCGCCGGCGCGUCCUCCGAGUACGUCAGGGGUGCCCUGGCGACGUACGACGCGCCCAUCACAUCUUGUCGGCAGAACAAGCCGAAUAGAAAUCAUUCGUCGUCCAAGUCGUCCGCGCAGAAGCUCGGCGAUGCCAUGAAGCAUGAGGAGCGGCGGCUGCUGGAGGACGAGAAACCCAUUGUGUUUGAGUGAGCGAAGGAGUGAAAGGCAGCUCACAGAUGGGGAAAAGGCAGGCGAGGAAAGGGAAGAAACGGCGCAAGCUAAGAAAGGAAAGGGCAGGCGGCGGCGUUCCUGAUUAGGGGACGGGUGAGGGGGAGGGAGAAGGGGCGAGCACCGUGCAGGCUGAAUGCACCAAAACGGAUCAAUGGAGUGCCGCACAAGGAGCACGAGGUAUCGAAGCGCGCACGCAGCAGACAUGGAAGGUGGGAGUGGCAUGUCAAGCGAAGGUGUACCUCAGUGUCUCUGUGUGUGCGUUUGAGCGACUGCGUGACUCAGCAGCGCUCCAUCUGUGGCCGCAUGAGUGCUUCUCGUUCUAGCACUUUUCGUUCCUGUUGUUGUCGUUGUUUUUUUCUGGGGAGGGGGGGCUUCUACCGCGUCUCCCCCCUUCCAUGCUAUCCCCCACCGACAUCCCACUACAACCGCCUCCACGUCAAGACUCGUCCACCUGAGUCGGUGCCCUUGAUGUGUUUGUGCGCGGUCAUCCGCGGCAGCUCUUCCCGUGAUGGCCCGAGUACGCAACGCGUCCCUCAGCAGAUAGAAACAUGCCGUCACUCGCGUUGCGGGUUCGGCGCCACCCGGUGAAUGGCGAGUUAUCGCGGUUGUCUCGACAGCCUUAACGCCCCGCAUAGAUAUGUGUAGAUCUGUGUAUGUGUAACCCGUAUUUCCCUUGAGCAUCUUCCUUCACGUGCACGCGGUCUCGUCUCCCCACCCCCACCCCUCCCAACAUUUCUUUUUUCCUUUGUUUGUCACUCAUGAUUUCGAUGUUCAUCUUCUGGCGUCUAUACGCAUACAUACAUAUAUAUAUAUAUCCAUGUAUAUGUAUGUAGUGUUCCCUCUCUCUCGGCGGUCUGCAAGCGCGGGUUUGCCCGCUUGCCUGCUCGCCUGAAUUUUAUGUGGUGCGUGAAUGUAUGCGUGUGUGGAAGAAUGCGGGCGCCUCCCUGAGAAAUCCGUGUCUCUCGUUAUGCUUCUCUCUCCUUCCCUUCUCCCUUUUUUUUUGUCUUGUCCCGUCUCCGAUAUCCGUACGAUCCUCUCCUCUCUCGCUCUCGCUCUCUCUCUUGGUCCUGUCGCCCAUGGCACGCUCGUCUCUCCGUCCGUGCGCUCUGUGCAAUCAUGCAGGUGUGCGUAAUUCAUGCGUCUACGCAUGUGUAUAUCGUGUAUAU